This 1270-nucleotide long non-coding RNA is filed under the name Zea mays. Its description in RNAcentral is "long non-coding RNA (ZMAY_LNC002428)". The record is from RNAcentral. Lineage: Eukaryota; Viridiplantae; Streptophyta; Magnoliopsida; Poales; Poaceae.
GAAUAAACACUACGUUAGUGUUUGUUAGACGUCGAUCACUUGACGACCAUCCUUUGUCUUGGCACUCGUUCAGAUUAUCCAUCUUCGGGUUCGUCCAUCAGCAUCACCUUGAAAUUAAUCCAGCUCUUGUCCUUCACAUCACGUGAUCAACUAGCGUACCUCAUGAGAUGCACGAUGCACAUGUAUGAGCACGAGUAUAAAUAGCAUAAGAUGGAUAAUCUACACCGAAGAUGAUGAAACACUUAUAACAAGCGUUAAGCAAAUACUAGCUAGCGAUAUAAGACUAAGUAUAAUAAUUAACAUCGACAGACUUAUUGAUAAUUGCUUAAAGCACUAAAUUUAACUUGUGCACCACCGAUAUACCAUACACUGCAAAAUUAGAAUUAGUUUAAUCAUGCUUGACAAAUAUACCCACCGAAACUCUAUUCCCAUAACCUAUAUCUCAAACUGGCGAUUUACCACACGACAUCGACCAAAUUGCUGCAAGCGAUUCGGGCAGUAAAUAUUAUACCUACAAUCACAACGCACAUAUAUUACUGGCAAGAGGACCGACGUAACUAAUAUAUCCAUUAAUCUAUCUAUCUAUCCCAUAGCAAAAAGUAUAAAAUUAGCUUACCAGUAUCAAACGUGACUCAACACUCGGGAGAAUGUUGAUAAAUCUUGGCUCGGGCUUGUUGUCGAACAUCUGACGAGUGUCGCGCGGCUUCGCUUCUUUCUCCAUCAAACAAACUUUGGAUUUUCUCUCCAAACUGUAACAUAAGCGCAGCAAGCAGGGAGGUCGACCACGUGGUUCCAAAGCACGGCAGACGACUAACAUAGUAGUGCUGCGAGGCGAAUUCCCGUGACAGUGACUUGGCAUGCUGGCGCUAUAGGGCAGGUUCAGCGAGUCCUACGGCGAGCUGAGAGCAGCGUCCGAUGACCUGGCAGCUUGCACGGCAACAGGAGUGAGCAACCGAUGGCGAGGUCGAACGAGGUCGAGGAGCACGGCCUCGCGACCAGGCCCAGCUGCAGCGAAAGGGCGACCACAUCUAAGAUAGAAUGAGCGGUUUAAUGACGCGGUUGGGGCGAGUAGGAAGAGAGGCAGAUGAGCUCGACAAGGCACAAGGGCUGAGUGACGGCAUCCGCGACCGCUGCUUCGACAUGAAGUACUUGCUGCCGAAGCAGACGAGCAUGACGGAGGCUGCUGGGGUCUGGGCAUCAAGCCAGCGCAUCACGUGGUUUGGGAACCGCACCACCUACACGAAGCGCUCGUCGCUGAGCUCCAGGCCGC